This 216-nucleotide ribosomal RNA is filed under the name Kluyvera sichuanensis. RNAcentral describes it as "partial 23S ribosomal RNA". It matches the Rfam family "Bacterial large subunit ribosomal RNA", at positions 1428 to 1643 of the family's 2925-position model. The record is from RNAcentral. Lineage: Bacteria; Pseudomonadati; Pseudomonadota; Gammaproteobacteria; Enterobacterales; Enterobacteriaceae.
GGUUAAUAUUCCUGUACUUGGUGUUACUGCGAAGGGGGGACGGAGAAGGCUAUGUUAGCCGGGCGACGGUUGUCCCGGUUUAAGCAUGUAGGCGGGAAGUUUAGGUAAAUCCGGACUUCUUUUAACGCUGAGGUGUGAUGACGAGGCACUACGGUGCUGAAGUAACAAAUGCCCUGCUUCCAGGAAAAGCCUCUAAGCAUCAGGUAACAUCAAAUC